RNAcentral lists this transfer RNA (76 nucleotides) under Myxococcales bacterium. RNAcentral's name for it is "tRNA-Ala". It matches the Rfam family "tRNA". From Rfam's summary of the family: Transfer RNA (tRNA) molecules are approximately 80 nucleotides in length. Their secondary structure includes four short double-helical elements and three loops (D, anti-codon, and T loops). The record is from RNAcentral. Lineage: Bacteria; Pseudomonadati; Myxococcota; Myxococcia; Myxococcales.
GGGGGCGUAGCUCAGUUGGGAGAGCGCCGCGUUCGCAAUGCGGAGGUCGUCGGUUCGAUCCCGUCCGCCUCCACCA